This 428-nucleotide ribosomal RNA is filed under the name Ochromonas sp. CCMP1393. RNAcentral's name for it is "partial Bacterial small subunit ribosomal RNA". It matches the Rfam family "Bacterial small subunit ribosomal RNA", at positions 1 to 430 of the family's 1533-position model. Lineage: Eukaryota; Chrysophyceae; Chromulinales; Chromulinaceae. The record is from RNAcentral.
UUGAAGAGUUUGAUCAUGGCUCAGAUUGAACGCUGGCGGCAGGCUUAACACAUGCAAGUCGAGCGGUAACAGGGGGAGCUUGCUCCCCGCUGACGAGCGGCGGACGGGUGAGUAAUGCAUAGGAAACUGCCCAGUAGUGGGGGAUAGCCCGGGGAAACCCGGAUUAAUACCGCAUACGCCCUUCGGGGGAAAGCAGGGGAUCUUCGGACCUUGCGCUAUUGGAUGUGCCUAUGUCGGAUUAGCUAGUUGGUGGGGUAAGAGCCUACCAAGGCGACGAUCCGUAGCUGGUCUGAGAGGAUGAUCAGCCACAUCGGGACUGAGACACGGCCCGAACUCCUACGGGAGGCAGCAGUGGGGAAUAUUGGACAAUGGGCGCAAGCCUGAUCCAGCCAUGCCGCGUGAGUGAUGAAGGCCCUAGGGUUGUAAAG